AAGGUUAAGCCUCACGGUUCAUUAGUACCGGUUAGCUCAACGCAUCGCUGCGCUUACACACCCGGCCUAUCAACGUCGUCGUCUUCAACGUUCCUUCAGGACCCUUAAAGGGUCAGGGAGAACUCAUCUCGGGGCAAGUUUCGUGCUUAGAUGCUUUCAGCACUUAUCUCUUCCGCAUUUAGCUACCGGGCAGUGCCAUUGGCAUGACAACCCGAACACCAGUGAUGCGUCCACUCCGGUCCUCUCGUACUAGGAGCAGCCCCCCUCAGUUCUCCAGCGCCCACGGCAGAUAGGGACCGAACUGUCUCACGACGUUCUAAACCCAGCUCGCGUACCACUUUAAAUGGCGAACAGCCAUACCCUUGGGACCUACUUCAGCCCCAGGAUGUGAUGAGCCGACAUCGAGGUGCCAAACACCGCCGUCGAUAUGAACUCUUGGGCGGUAUCAGCCUGUUAUCCCCGGAGUACCUUUUAUCCGUUGAGCGAUGGCCCUUCCAUUCAGAACCACCGGAUCACUAUGACCUGCUUUCGCACCUGCUCGCGCCGUCACGCUCGCAGUCAAGCUGGCUUAUGCCAUUGCACUAACCUCCUGAUGUCCGACCAGGAUUAGCCAACCUUCGUGCUCCUCCGUUACUCUUUAGGAGGAGACCGCCCCAGUCAAACUACCCACCAGACACUGUCCGCAACCCGGAUUACGGGCCAACGUUAGAACAUCAAACAUUAAAGGGUGGUAUUUCAAGGUCGGCUCCAUGCAGACUGGCGUCCACACUUCAAAGCCUCCCACCUAUCCUACACAUCAAGGCUCAAUGUUCAGUGUCAAGCUAUAGUAAAGGUUCACGGGGUCUUUCCGUCUUGCCGCGGGUACACUGCAUCUUCACAGCGAGUUCAAUUUCACUGAGUCUCGGGUGGAGACAGCCUGGCCAUCAUUACGCCAUUCGUGCAGGUCGGAACUUACCCGACAAGGAAUUUCGCUACCUUAGGACCGUUAUAGUUACGGCCGCCGUUUACCGGGGCUUCGAUCAAGAGCUUCGCGUUGCCGCUAACCCCAUCAAUUAACCUUCCGGCACCGGGCAGGCGUCACACCGUAUACGUCCACUUUCGUGUUUGCACAGUGCUGUGUUUUUAAUAAACAGUUGCAGCCAGCUGGUAUCUUCGACUGAUUUCAGCUCCACGAGCAAGUCGCUUCACCUACAUAUCAGCGUGCCUUCUCCCGAAGUUACGGCACCAUUUUGCCUAGUUCCUUCACCCGAGUUCUCUCAAGCGCCUUGGUAUUCUCUACCUGACCACCUGUGUCGGUUUGGGGUACGAUUUGAUGUUACCUGAUGCUUAGAGGCUUUUCCUGGAAGCAGGGCAUUUGUCGCUUCAGCACCGUAGUGCCUCGUCAUCACGCCUCAGCCUUGAUUUUCCGGAUUUGCCUGGAAAACCAGCCUACACGCUUAAACCGGGACAACCGUCGCCCGGCCAACAUAGCCUUCUCCGUCCCCCCUUCGCAGUAACACCAAGUACAGGAAUAUUAACCUGUUUCCCAUCGACUACGCCUUUCGGCCUCGCCUUAGGGGUCGACUCACCCUGCCCCGAUUAACGUUGGACAGGAACCCUUGGUCUUCCGGCGAGCGGGCUUUUCACCCGCUUUAUCGUUACUUAUGUCAGCAUUCGCACUUCUGAUACCUCCAGCAACCCUCACAGGCCACCUUCACAGGCUUACAGAACGCUCCCCUACCCAACAACACAUAGUGUCGCUGCCGCAGCUUCGGUGCAUGGUUUAGCCCCGUUACAUCUUCCGCGCAGGCCGACUCGACCAGUGAGCUAUUACGCUUUCUUUAAAUGAUGGCUGCUUCUAAGCCAACAUCCUGGCUGUCUGGGCCUUCCCACAUCGUUUCCCACUUAACCAUGACUUUGGGACCUUAGCUGGCGGUCUGGGUUGUUUCCCUCUUCACGACGGACGUUAGCACCCGCCGUGUGUCUCCCGUGAUAACAUUCUCCGGUAUUCGCAGUUUGCAUCGGGUUGGUAAGUCGGGAUGACCCCCUUGCCGAAACAGUGCUCUACCCCCGGAGAUGAAUUCACGAGGCGCUACCUAAAUAGCUUUCGGGGAGAACCAGCUAUCUCCCGGUUUGAUUGGCCUUUCACCCCCAGCCACAAGUCAUCCGCUAAUUUUUCAACAUUAGUCGGUUCGGUCCUCCAGUUAGUGUUACCCAACCUUCAACCUGCCCAUGGCUAGAUCACCGGGUUUCGGGUCUAUACCCUGCAACUUAACGCCCAGUUAAGACUCGGUUUCCCUUCGGCUCCCCUAUUCGGUUAACCUUGCUACAGAAUAUAAGUCGCUGACCCAUUAUACAAAAGGUACGCAGUCACCCCAUUAAGAGGCUCCCACUGCUUGUACGUACACGGUUUCAGGUUCUUUUUCACUCCCCUCGCCGGGGUUCUUUUCGCCUUUCCCUCACGGUACUGGUUCACUAUCGGUCAGUCAGGAGUAUUUAGCCUUGGAGGAUGGUCCCCCCAUAUUCAGACAGGAUACCACGUGUCCCGCCCUACUCAUCGAGCUCACAAUAUGUGCAUUUUUGUGUACGGGGCUGUCACCCUGUAUCGCACGCCUUUCCAGACGCUUCCACUAACACACACACUGAUUCAGGCUCUGGGCUCCUCCCCGUUCGCUCGCCGCUACUGGGGGAAUCUCGGUUGAUUUCUUUUCCUCGGGGUACUUAGAUGUUUCAGUUCCCCCGGUUCGCCUCAUUAACCUAUGGAUUCAGUUAAUGAUAGUGUGACGAAUCACACUGGGUUUCCCCAUUCGGAAAUCGCCGGUUAUAACGGUUCAUAUCACCUCACCGACGCUUAUCGCAGAUUAGCACGUCCUUCAUCGCCUCUGACUGCCAGGGCAUCCACCGUGUACGCUUAGUCGCUUAA
This 2902-nucleotide ribosomal RNA is filed under the name Escherichia coli DEC1C. RNAcentral's name for it is "23S ribosomal RNA". Lineage: Bacteria; Pseudomonadati; Pseudomonadota; Gammaproteobacteria; Enterobacterales; Enterobacteriaceae. The record is from RNAcentral.